UACGUAGGGUGCAAGCGUUGUCCGGAAUUAUUGGGCGUAAAGAGCGUGUAGGCGGCCCGAUUAGUCUGCUGUGAAAGUCCAGGGCUCAACCCUGGAAAGCCGGUGGAUACUGUCGGGCUCGAGUCCGGAAGAGGCGAGUGGAAUUCCUGGUGUAGCGGCGGAAUGCGCAGAUAUCAGGAGGAACACCAAUGGCGAAGGCAGCUCGCUGGGACGGUACUGACGCUAAGGCGCGAAAGCGUGGGGAGCAAACAGG
Molecule: ribosomal RNA, 253 nt
Filed under: uncultured bacterium
Lineage: Bacteria
Description: partial 16S ribosomal RNA
Rfam family: Bacterial small subunit ribosomal RNA
Source: RNAcentral